Hyla sarda is the source of this 730-nucleotide long non-coding RNA. RefSeq lists it as uncharacterized. Lineage: Eukaryota; Metazoa; Chordata; Amphibia; Anura; Hylidae. The transcript is spliced from 3 exons. The record is from RefSeq and is a predicted model, not a curated record.
GUUUCAGGCCUAAGGAAGUGACAGUAGGUAUGAAACAAUUGUAGCUCCUGUUUCCCGCUUCACCUGUACCAUCGCUCCCCUGUCUACGAUUCAAGACAUAUCGGUGCUUAUUCUAUCCCAAAAACUACUGCAUCUCUCUUGCAUUUGAAUUGGUGCGAGCACAGGUUAGAGCUCGGGACAACUACUACUACCACCACUAUGACUGGAUGUGAUUUACUUUAAGAAUGUUGAGCGUUGCGCCUCUGGAGUGCCCAACACCCUCUGGGAAGUCAAUAGUGGAGAACAUUUUUCAAAAGAAGUUACCUCAAGAAGAUUUCUCUGAAGCCAGGACUGUAACAUUAUAUGGCAGCCAUUAAAACCAAUGGAUGUCUAUGUAAUGAAUAUAAAACACCAGCAUGCAAGCUGCUCCUACAGAGAGUGUCUAAGUUCUAGCUCAAAAAGGGCCAUAUGCCCUUACAGGACACUUGGACAGGGGUUUUCUUAAAGGGACAACCAUCUUAACAUUCACUGUACUAUGAGCAGUAAAGUUUACUAUUAUGGGGUAUGACUGGACAUAACGUAACUACAUGAAAUUAAGUAAUGAGGUCAGGUAUCCAUGAUGCAUGAGAAUACACUGUAAAAACUCAACAACUAUCUGCAUUAUAUGAAAAAAAAAAAGUGUUAAAGUUACAAUCUGAAAGAACAGAGGAGUCUAUUGUUCCUUUUUGCACCAAGGAUAACAGCUGUGUGG